CUCGUAGGCGGCUCGUCGCGUCGACCGUGAAAACCCGCAGCUUAACUGCGGGCUUGCGGUUGAUACGGGCGGGCUAGAGUUCGGUAGGGGAGACUGGAAUUCCUGGUGUAGCGGUGAAAUGCGCAGAUAUCAGGAGGAACACCGGUGGCGAAGGCGGGUCUCUGGGCCGAUACUGACGCUGAGGAGCGAAAGCGUGGGGAGCGAACAGGAUUAGAUACCCUGGUAGUCCACGCUGUAAACGUUGGGCGCUAGGUGUGGGGGGCCUCUCCGGUUCUCUGUGCCGCAGCUAACGCAUUAAGCGCCCCGCCUGGGGAGUACGGCCGCAAGGCUAAA
RNAcentral lists this ribosomal RNA (333 nucleotides) under uncultured Virgisporangium sp. RNAcentral describes it as "bacterial SSU rRNA". It matches the Rfam family "Bacterial small subunit ribosomal RNA", at positions 568 to 898 of the family's 1533-position model. The record is from RNAcentral. Lineage: Bacteria; Bacillati; Actinomycetota; Actinomycetes; Micromonosporales; Micromonosporaceae.